RNAcentral lists this ribosomal RNA (484 nucleotides) under uncultured bacterium. Its description in RNAcentral is "partial 16S ribosomal RNA". It matches the Rfam family "Bacterial small subunit ribosomal RNA", at positions 30 to 507 of the family's 1533-position model. The record is from RNAcentral.
AUUGAACGCUGGCGGCAGGCCUAACACAUACCAGUCGAGCGGAUGAAGGGAGCUUGCUCCUGGAUUCAGCGGCGGACGGGUGAGUAAUGCCUAGGAAUCUGCCUGGUAGUGGGGGAUAACGUCCGGAAACGGGCGCUAAUACCGCAUACGUCCUGAGGGAGAAAGUGGGGGAUCUUCGGACCUCACGCUAUCAGAUGAGCCUAGGUCGGAUUAGCUAGUUGGUGGGGUAAAGGCCUACCAAGGCGACGAUCCGUAACUGGUCUGAGAGGAUGAUCAGUCACACUGGAACUGAGACACGGUCCAGACUCCUACGGGAGGCAGCAGUGGGGAAUAUUGGACAAUGGGCGAAAGCCUGAUCCAGCCAUGCCGCGUGUGUGAAGAAGGUCUUCGGAUUGUAAAGCACUUUAAGUUGGGAGGAAGGGCAGUAAGUUAAUACCUUGCUGUUUUGACGUUACCAACAGAAUAAGCACCGGCUAACUUCGUG